UACGUAGGGGGCGAGCGUUGUCCGGAUUCAUUGGGCGUAAAGAGCUCGUAGGCGGUUCGGUAAGUCAGGUGUGAAAACUCCAGGCUCAACUUGGAGACGCCACCUGAUACUGUCGUGACUAGAGUCCGGUAGGGGAGCAUGGAAUUCCUGGUGUAGCGGUGAAAUGCGCAGAUAUCAGGAGGAACACCAGCGGCGAAGGCGGUGCUCUGGGCCGGAACUGACGCUGAGGAGCGAAAGCGUGGGGAGCGAACAGGAUUAGAUACCCUGGUAGUCCACGCCGUAAACGUUGGGCACUAGGUGUGGGGCUCUGUCAACGAGUUCCAUGCCGUCGCUAACGCAUUAAGUGCCCCGCCUGGGGAGUACGGCCGCAAGGCUAAA
Molecule: ribosomal RNA, 378 nt
Filed under: uncultured bacterium
Lineage: Bacteria
Description: bacterial SSU rRNA
Rfam family: Bacterial small subunit ribosomal RNA
Source: RNAcentral